GAUGAACGCUGGCGGCGUGCCUAAUACAUGCAAGUCGAGCGAACAGACGAGGAGCUUGCUCCUCUAAUGUUAGCGGCGGACGGGUGAGUAACACGUGGAUAACCUACCUAUAAGACUGGGAUAACUUCGGGAAACCGGAGCUAAUACCAGAUAACAUGUUGAACCUCAUGGUUCAACAGUGAAAGACGGUCUUGCUGUCACUUAUAGAUGGAUCCGCGCCGCAGUAGCUAGUUGGUCAGGUAACGGCUUACCAAGGCAACGAUGCGCAGCCGACCUGAGAGGUUGAUCGGCCACACUGGAACUGAGCCACGGUCCAGACUCCUACGGGAGGCAGCAGUAGGGAAUCUUCCGCAAUGGGCGAAAGCCUGACGGAGCAACGCCGCGUGAGUGAAGAAGGUCUUCGGAUCGUAAAACUCUGUUAUUAGGGAAGAACAAAUGUGUAAGUAACUAUGCACGUCUUGACGGUACCUAAUCAGAAAGCCACGGCUAACUACGUG
Molecule: ribosomal RNA, 497 nt
Filed under: uncultured bacterium
Lineage: Bacteria
Description: partial 16S ribosomal RNA
Rfam family: Bacterial small subunit ribosomal RNA
Source: RNAcentral